AUGGUGUGCUGUGGAGGGGCUGGACGAUACAGAUUAAAUUCGACGGUUCCAUGCGGCGAUGCUGCUGCAACGACGUGCCCGGAUCCAUCCGCUCGCUUGUACUGGGACGGCGUCCAUCUGACGGAGGCAGCUAACCGCCACAUCGCCAAUAUCUGGCUGGGCAGCAUAACCUCGGCAACAAGAGUCAGCAGCAGCAAGUGUGCAAAGUGGCCAUGUCGACCCACCGGGUGA
RNAcentral lists this ribosomal RNA (231 nucleotides) under Triticum aestivum (bread wheat). RNAcentral describes it as "partial small subunit ribosomal RNA". The record is from RNAcentral. Lineage: Eukaryota; Viridiplantae; Streptophyta; Magnoliopsida; Poales; Poaceae.